CAGCAUGUUUCCAAGGGCUAUGGGAUCUCCAACUGCAUGCCAGAGUAACUGGAGAGACUUGGACAGCCGAGAUCAACACAGUGCCUGUAGAUACCAUUCAGUUUUCUUAUAUAU
Phodopus roborovskii (desert hamster) is the source of this 114-nucleotide small nucleolar RNA. RefSeq annotates it as small nucleolar RNA SNORA44. The transcript has a single exon. NCBI's taxonomy places the organism in Eukaryota, Metazoa, Chordata, Mammalia, Rodentia, Cricetidae. The record is from RefSeq and is a predicted model, not a curated record.